Molecule: non-coding RNA, 146 nt
Filed under: Marinomonas sp. MED121
Lineage: Bacteria; Pseudomonadati; Pseudomonadota; Gammaproteobacteria; Oceanospirillales; Oceanospirillaceae
Also listed under: 1 other name
Description: FMN riboswitch aptamer (RFN element)
Rfam family: FMN riboswitch aptamer (RFN element)
About the family: The RFN element is a highly conserved domain that is found frequently in the 5'-untranslated regions of prokaryotic mRNAs that encode for flavin mononucleotide (FMN) biosynthesis and transport proteins.
Source: Rfam by way of RNAcentral
UUUCGUUCUCGGGGCGGGGUGAAAUUCCCCACCGGCGGUAAGAACUUAGGUUUAAGCCCGCGAGCGUCUAAUCGUAUAGAUUAGAGUCAGCAGAUCUGGUGUGAUUCCAGAGCCGACGGUCAUAGUCCGGAUGAUAGAGAGCGUGU